GGGGUUGUGACUCAGUGAUACAGCGCUUGCUUAGCAUGCAUGAGGCAUUGGGUUCGAUUCUCAGCACCACA
This 71-nucleotide transfer RNA is filed under the name Marmota monax (woodchuck). RNAcentral's name for it is "tRNA.Ala". The record is from RNAcentral. Lineage: Eukaryota; Metazoa; Chordata; Mammalia; Rodentia; Sciuridae.